UUACAGUUUUAUGUGUUUCCAGAACUUUGCCUCAGAAUAUGGAUGGCUGUUGUAUAAUAAAAUCCUCCUGGGCUUGUGUGUUUUGGAGAAGAUGAUCACAGAGGAAGAGCUGCAGCCUAGAAUCACCCUGUAUCCAUGGGCCUGAGCAAAACCAUCCCUGAACAGCAUAGCUAGCAGCCCACCAGCCUGCACUGACAUCACUCUGCCAGCCUGCAAGACCCUGCCAGUGUCUGCUACG
Vicugna pacos (alpaca) is the source of this 238-nucleotide non-coding RNA. The record is from RefSeq and is a predicted model, not a curated record. Lineage: Eukaryota; Metazoa; Chordata; Mammalia; Artiodactyla; Camelidae.